AUUCUGGUGGUAAGGACUUUUAUGGGGUGAGACACAGCACAGAUCGCUUUCUGGUCCAAACUUCACCAUGGACACCAACAUGGAACUCAAUCAGCGCAUCAGAUCAGGCGAUCUCAGACGAUCAAAGAAAUCUUUCGUGUUCCUGAACCUGAGGAGCUGAGCAAGGGCAGUGGUGGCUCUUCAGUUGAGGCUCUGGGAUAGCAAUCAGAAGGUUGCUAUGGCUACACUCCAGCUUGCGAUGCUUUGCGAUGGUUAUUGAUGAAAAUGAAGCGUUUUGAUGGCGAUCCUUCCUUGAGCUUCGGGAAGUAUUACCAAACCCAUCUUCUGAUGAGGAAUGAUUGAGCUUCACAGGACUGGCGGUUGACAGCUGGCCGCACUCUUCCGCUCGAAAGAGCAACAACACUUCGUCAGCAACACAUAACUGCAGAGACGUUCACCAGGACGAAGACCAAAGUUAUAAGUUAUUCAGCUUACAUAGCUAUCUAAGUGACAAUGUAGACAAAUACAGUCUGGAUGAACUGAGACUUCCAAACACAAACCUCUAAAUGUCCAGCCAAAAAUUCAACAUGGACGCAUUUUUCCUUUCGUGCCCACAAGACCAACAUGAACCUCAUUAAAAAGCAAUCAUGUCCGUAAGCUUCCCCUGGGUUUCCUACCAUGUGAAAUUCUGCUGGUGUUUUCUUAACACUGUUAUCGCCAACAUUGCGGCUGUGAUUAGGUUGCCUGCAGAUCAUCACAGCCGUGACGGUAUUCGUGAUAACACGCAAGCCUCGAUGUUGUGUUGCCUUCAUUGCACACUUUUGCAAAGUAAAGCCAAAAAACUGCCAAAACUUUCUUUCAAAUACACACAUCACCAUCUAAUAAAACAAUCGCGUGCAAAUUGCAGACCAUAAGCGUUUCACUGAGCAGCUCUGGGUGGGCGUGUCUGUCUAAAUACUAUGAUAUUGUAGGUGUGUCACUGAGUCCAUAUAUGGAAGUGUUCAAACAGAAAAAGUUGUUCGUGUUCACAUAGAACAUGUACACAUACUGUAUAUGCACAUUUCUGAAGCUAGUGAACAACCAUGAGCUAAUAUUUCUGAAAGGAUUUGAAAGUCUCAUCUCAUUAUCUCUAGCCGCUUUAUCCUGUUCUACAGGGUCGCAGGCAAGCUGGAGCCUAUCCCAGCUGACUACGGGCGAA
This is a long non-coding RNA of Neoarius graeffei (lesser salmon catfish), 1177 nucleotides long. RefSeq lists it as uncharacterized. The transcript has 4 exons. The record is from RefSeq and is a predicted model, not a curated record. NCBI's taxonomy places the organism in Eukaryota, Metazoa, Chordata, Actinopteri, Siluriformes, Ariidae.